GCGACCCUGCGAAGCGCGAACCGACGAGCGGCUCCGGCGGGACGCGACACGAUGCUGCGCGGAUGCGACAGCGGCGUUUCUCCCUAACCUCCCCGUCAGUCUCUCGCCGUGUGGAGGAGAGUGUAGUGCAGCAGACAUGCCACCGACAAAAAAGACUGAUCUAGACAAGCUAGCUUGGGCAUGGGUGGAGAGCAUCAGCCCGGAACAGAUCGAGAAGAUACAUCUGGAAACGGCGUACAGGAUCGGAUUGAAGAGUUGCAAAAGUUGCAAACGUAACUGCGCCAAUAAUCCCCAAUGUCUGACAGGUUUAGGGGAGGAGAAGUACAUGAAGUCGCAACCAGCCGAGAUAGUGUCCCUGGAGAGCUCUCUGUCCGAACUGCGCGAUCCCACCCAGUACGUUGGCUUGAAAAAUCUAGGUGCUACUUGCUACGUCAACAGUUUGAUCCAAAUGUGGUUUCACAAUGAGGACAUGAGGAGAAUAAUAUACAAAUGGGAUAUUACGGAAGAUCCGGAGGAGAGGGAGACGUUGCAACAGACGAAGAAGGCGGGCAACUCGUACCACCCGGUGACCGCAGUCGGCCAGUUGCAGUACAUCUUCGCGAUGAUGCAAUUCGGCAAUCGGAGCCUCCUCGAUCCGAUGAGUCUCGCGGUCGCGCUGUCGCUGGACACCAGAACGCAGCAGGACGCCCAGGAGUUCUCCAAACUGUUGCUGUGCCACAUCGAGGGUAAGCUGCAGCAGAACACGGAACUCAAGCAGAUGCUGCAGAGGCUGACCCAAGGAAGAUACAGUUACGUCAAUUGUUGUUCAACAUGUGGCACCGAAUAUCCGACGUCUACCACGUUCUACGAGCUAGAUCUGCAGCUGGCGGCGACUUUGAAGGAGGCGAUAGACAAGUAUCUGUCGGAGGAACAGCUGACCGGCGCGAAUCAGUACCACUGUGUCACGUGUAACGAUAAGAAGGACGCGAGGCGAUUCAUACGACUGGAGUCGCUGCCGGAGACGCUGAACAUCCAACUGAUGCGUUUCGUGUUUCACAGAGAUUCCGGACAGAAGAGGAAAUUAAAUUCGUAUAUCCAAUUUCCCGAGGACCUCGACAUGUCGGAAUACGUCAGGUGUCAGCCGCAAACUCACUUGUACAGUCUCGUCGCGGUGCUGAGUCACAAAGGCCCGUCCGCGCAUUCCGGGCAUUACAUCGCGAACAUAUGCAACUCGAGCGGCGAAUGGUACCAGUUCAGCGACGACAAAGUCGAGAAGAUGCAGAACAAGCGGAUCGAGGAUGGCGUGAAUGAUAACGUGAAACCGAUGAAACGCGGACGCGUCCCGAAAGGCUUUCUCUCGUCGAAUACGGCUUACAUGCUGGUUUACAAAAGAUUAACUUCGGACUGCCGGACGAAUGCUGCGAAGAAAGCGAAGUCGAAGAAGCCCGACGAGACAAACGCUUCCGGCGAUGCCGUUCACGUGGAGAAGCCCGCGGUCAAAGACGAGGUCAAAGCGGACGGUUCGGACGAAACGAGGCAAAAGAAUGAUGUCGAAGUGCCAUCGAGUGCCCAGGAAGGAUGCCUCGAAAAUCUAUCAAAGGCAGAUUCGGAGAGCGAGACGGAACCAAAUGAAGUUGCAGCACCUCAAAAGACUGAUACACCUAUCGUGGUUAAAAACGAAACCGCGGAGCCUGCCGCUGACGCGAACGAAUCGAGCGACGACAAGCACGACGAUUCCACCUCGCCGCAGUUGCAGAGCAAGGUUCAAUGCUUGAAGCAACCAGUAGUAAAAGUAGUGAAACUCGACUACAAGCGACUGAAUGGCGCCGCGCACCGGGCGAUGAGUUGCGGCGAACGAGAUUUUUACGAAGAGAUGGAGUUUGAGAACUGGCAAGUGAGCAACACGAUGCGCGAGCUCGUCAGGCAGGAGAACGUUAAACACGAAUUGAGUUUGUUGGCGGCGCAGCAGGAGAAGCAAAAGGAAAUCGAAGAUCAGAAUUCUAAACGGCAGCUCGUGAUAGACAUAUAUAACAUGAUACAGUCGACUGUGUCCUGGCAGGAGUACUACUGGAUACCAACCGAUUGGCUGUCGAAGUGGCUGAACGGGCACUACGCGGCGGACAGUGUCCCACCGAUCGACAACUCGACUCUCAUGUGCUCGCACUACCGACUGGAUCCGUUGAAAGUCAGUCGGGCGAAGUGCGUGCCGGCGACGGCGGCUGAGAUGAUCUACGAGACGUAUCGUGGCGGUCCACGAUUAGACCAAACGUCGCUGUGUGAGAUCUGCGUGAGGAGACGCUGCAAGCUGCUGCGCUUCAAGCUGGCGCUCGAACGGGAUCACAAAGAAGUCAGCGAGCUGAUACGCACGUUCAAGGAACCUUCCGAGUCGAGUUACAUAAUCGGCACCGACUCGUUACGAUCCUGGCGGAGGCUGGCCAUGGAGACGUUCCUGGAGGGCAUGGAGCAGGAGAUGGACGACGGUCGGUAUACUCCGCAGGAGGAAAGCAAAAGCAUAGACAAGGAUGGCAACGAUUGUCCGAAGGACAACAUCGAGGAGAACGACGAGAGCGAGGCCAUCAUAAACUUCAAUGAGGACCUGCUGUGCGAGCAUAAUUCACUGAAGACUGCGGAUUCCAGUAGGAGAGUGAUACCACAGGAAGCUUGGUCGAUCCUUCGGAAGUACUUUCCCGAUUCGAAGGAGUAUCCGGUUCAGUCGUCGUCGUGUUCGAUCUGCGAGGAGAGAAUGGAGAACGCACAGAGAGCGAAGAAGGACGACAAGAUAAAGGCGAAGCAGCAGAAGGACCAGCUCAUCGACUUGUACUACUGCAGGAACCGAAACGAGAUCUCCAAGUGCGACGACCCGGGCAAGCUGUUCUACAUCGUGGAGAAGGGCUUCCUCGACAGCUGGCGUUCCUUCAUUCGAUACGCCGAGAUCUACUCACGAACGCCACCGGCAGGUAUUCAGAACGCGUCGCUGCUCUGCGAGCCGCACAAAGGGUUCCUGUAUGCGCCCAGAAUCAACAACGACCUAUACAGCAUACUUACGGCGGAAGAAUGGUCGAAGCUCGCGCAAUUCUACGAGGUCGAUUUUCCUAUCACCAUAAAGAAGACUGACGACGACUAUCAGACGGAUCCCGGAUCAUGUGCAGCCUGCAUGUUAGCAAGGGUCGAACAGGAGCGACUGGAGAGCUUAAAGUACGACAGAGCGACGAUCUACAUCAAGUGUAUCGACGAGAACGGUGAAACUAAAACGGAGAACGAUUCAGAGGUAGCGGCAAAGAGGCCAAAAAUAGAGAACGUACGUCCGUCGCGAACCAGGAGAAAAUUGAAGGGCUCCCACGAGCUCAAAGUGUCAUCCGAGAUUACCUUAAAGGAACUCAAAGUGAUGAUGAUGCAGAUCUGCGGCGCCGGGCCCUAUGAUCAACACAUAAUGCUGGGGGAACACGAACUCACUGAUCAUAGUCAGAGCUUGGCGGCACUCGGGAUAUUUCCUGGCUCGCUGCUCACGUUGAAGACAAAUCUCGUCCACGAAGGCGAGACUCGCUUACCGUAGAUGACGUGGAAAGUGGCCGGUCAAUGCCAAAGACCGGCCGGACAAUCCAUUCCGGCAGCUUGCGCGCGCGCGUCGCCUUUACGGAGUCGCGAGAGGCUGCCUCGCCGAGAGAAGGAAGAUUUGUUCCCUAAUGUAGUCACUGGAGCCUCGGGGACGACUCGGCGAGGUCGGUGGGGUCCGCAAGUAGGCGUCUAGAAAAUCGAUGCGCCGAUAGAAAACGAAACUGACGUUGAGUCCGACGUCCACAACUUCGAGUCUACCUUGCCAGAGAAGGGUUUCAAAG
RNAcentral lists this unclassified non-coding RNA (3815 nucleotides) under Ooceraea biroi (clonal raider ant). RNAcentral describes it as "ubiquitin carboxyl-terminal hydrolase 48, transcript variant X4". Lineage: Eukaryota; Metazoa; Arthropoda; Insecta; Hymenoptera; Formicidae. The record is from RNAcentral.